RNAcentral lists this ribosomal RNA (253 nucleotides) under uncultured bacterium. RNAcentral's name for it is "partial 16S ribosomal RNA". It matches the Rfam family "Bacterial small subunit ribosomal RNA", at positions 524 to 776 of the family's 1533-position model. The record is from RNAcentral.
UACGGAGGGUGCGAGCGUUGUCCGGAAUCACUGGGCGUAAAGGGCGCGUAGGCGGCCUGGCAAGUCGAUGGUGAAAGCCCGAGGCUCAACUUCGGGUCGGCCACUGAUACUGCUGGGCUUGAGUCGACUAGAGGCAGAUGGAAUUCCGGGUGUAGCGGUGGAAUGCGUAGAGAUCCGGAAGAACACCGGUGGCGAAGGCGGUCUGCUGGGCCAAGACUGACGCUGAGGCGCGACAGCGUGGGGAGCAAACAGG